UGCAUUGUUUUAAUAUAUAGGCCAGCACUUUACACUUAGCACAAAGUUCUUUGUCAUAAAUUAUUCUUUUGGGGCAAUGAUUACAUGCUAAUAUAUAUUAGUGUUCUCUUACAUUAAUAUGUUUACUUCUUUUGAAAACACGUUUCUUCCAGAAACAGUAAAAACUAAAUAGGAAGUAAAACAUUAGAACAACCCCUAUUGAAGAUAAAAGUAUGAUUAAGAUAUUGAAAAAACAAUUUAAUGUGUAAAAACAACCUGGGACAUCAGACAGGUUAUUGGCAAAAGUGCAUCUUUAUACAUAGUUAGCCUUGCCACUGAGGUUCUCAUGGGAGGGUAGGUGUGGUGAGGGAGCAAAGUUGGACAGGAAUAGAAAGUUUUGAAAGAGGGACCUUGCAUGACUAGGUUUGUGCCUUUAAAAACUAAAGUUUAACGUCUGAGAGUGGAGAGACUGAAGACAGAGAUACUCAGGUAAGAGAUGACAGACCAUGAAGAGGAAGAGAAGGGGAAGGGGAAGGGACAAGAGAUAUUUGGGAAUCAGAAAACCCAGGACUUGGUUUCCUAGCCACUAUGAUAGUGUCACUAGGUAUAAAAAUGUCAUAUAGGCUUAAGCAUGAGGAAUAAGAUGCCAGGAACUUGAUGCCAUCUACAAACUAAAUUUCAUCCUGAUCAGUGCGUCUUAUUACCCAUUAAUUCAUUUAUUAAAUAUUUAUUGACUGAUCAUCCACAGUCUCCAGACACUGCUGGUUUUGUUAUACAGGACUGAGAAAGAAAUACUGCCGAUCCUCACCAAGAGAGGGGAGUUGGCAAGCACAGUGAUAGCUGUAAUGGUUGGGUUCUACCUUUAGCAGAGAUUUCAACAACAUCCCUUUUGGAGGAGAGGAUAAGAGCAGCCUCAGCCCAAAUCAAAGACUACACCCUCAGAGUCAUUCCUCAGCAGGACAGCAUCCAUUGGCUGCCUCAACUACAGAUUUCUGGCACUCGAAAUCAAGCAGAAUGAUCUGGUAAACUGAAACCCCUGAGAUUCUUGUCCGGCUCUGCUCUGAGCUGGGUUAUUUAUAUCCCUGGUCUCAAGUCCAGAUUCCCAGAUGCAGUGGAGACUGGACAUGUGUGAUAGUAUCUAGGGCAUGAUUGCUGUACUCAUACUCACUCUGAAAGCCAUCUCCUGUCCCACUCUUAGCUACUGAAUAGUGUAAACAGAAAAGAUUAUUUGAGGGGAAAAAUUGAUCAAUUAGAAUACUUGUCUGUGGUAAGUACUACAUUUGAAGACUAUGGAAUAAAAGUAUAUCUUUAUUUUGAAGAAAAAAUGCAUUGCAAACUAGUUUCAUUAGAUUAUUGUUGUCAUUUUUACUUCCACCAAGGUUGGAAGGAAAAGAUAGGAUCAGGAUAAUCUUCAGUUUCUCAUGGCCACAGACCAUAAAAAAAUACUCUAAAAUAAUUUGUUUUCCGGGAUGCCUGGGUCGCUCAGUGGUUGAGCAUCUGCCUUUGGCUUACAUCAUCAUUCUGGGGUCCUGGGAUUGAGUCCCACAUCAGGCUCCACACAGGGAACCUGUUUCUCCCUCUGCCUAUGUCUCUGCCUCUCUCUGUGGGUCUCUCAUGAGUAAAUAGAUAAAAUCUAUAAAUAAAAAUAAAUUAAAAAUAAAAUAAUUUGUUUUCCAUGCUUGGCAGGAAAGAAUAUAUUUUUUUAAGAACUGGAUACCUGGGGGAGGGUACCUGGGGGGCUCAGUUGGUUGAGCAUCUGACUCUUGGUUUCAGCUCAUGUCAUGAUUUCUCAGGGUCCUGGGAUCAAGCCCUGUGUCAGGCUCCCCAAUUGGCAGAGAGUCCAUUUGUCUCCUUUUCCCUCUGCCCUUCCUCCCUGCUCGCACAUGUUCAUUCUCUCUCAAAUAAAUCUUAAAAAAAAAAAAAAAAAAAAA
RNAcentral lists this long non-coding RNA (1910 nucleotides) under Canis lupus familiaris (dog). RNAcentral describes it as "lncRNA (ENSCAFG00000056848.1)". The record is from RNAcentral. Lineage: Eukaryota; Metazoa; Chordata; Mammalia; Carnivora; Canidae.